GCCUUGAUCACAAUAAAGAUAAGAACAAGUGGGCCAAAUGGAGUUAGUCCGCAUGGAUUUCAAGCGAAUGGAUCAAAUUCGAGUAACAUUGCCUCAAUAUUGGAGUUUAGGAACUCCAGGUAACAUGGUUGUAUAGUGGCAGGCCUAAAUGUGUCCAAGCUCAAUACAAAUCACACAAUCAAUUACAAGAGAUUAAACAGUGGCUUAAACCCAAUAUGCAUAUGACAACAAUUAUGAGAGAUUAAAUUGUUUUACAAAGUCAGUUUAAAAUCCUAUCCACUUUAACGUACAAAAAUUGGUUAUAUUCAUACUUUAAUUUCAAUAAACUAUGACAUGAAGAUGGGAAAAAACUAAUACAAUGAACCACAUUAUACAAAUAAUAUCUAAUUAAUUCUAAACCCCUUUCUAUGAGCUUCUAUGGGAACAAGCUGUCUCUGGCUGACUGUCCUUCUUAUUUCCAAACCAUUUCUUGAUUCACAAAGGAAUAACCAUUGGGAUAUCCUCUUAAACCAAAUUGGCUAUGAACAGAGCAAUCAGUUAGGAUUAAAUUACCCUGCUAACAUUACUUGAAACAGAAAAUACCAAUCUCAGUAUUUAGUCGGCUAUCAGCAGUAAACAUUAAACUAUCCAUUAACAUCUAACCAGUUGAAUAUCUAACUUUAACCUACUGAUACUUUCAAAGCUUAACAAAGAGGGAAUCUCAGGCCAAUUCAGCAACUAUACAUACUAGGUUCAAACAGUUGAAUAUAAUUAUUAGAGGAUGAAUAGUAUCACAACUUUAACAUGGAAGACCAUUCAAAACGAACUUAAUAAUUGCACAUGAUGAGUCUAUGCAGUUAAACAUAAUUAAGACAUAAACAAAUCAAAUUUUUAAUACAGCAUUCAAACAAGAGUAAUAUGGAUGUGUAAACAUACCUAACUUGCAAAGGAAUAACAAAAAGUAAUCAAAUAAUGUUCUGAAAAAAGAAGAUGAAGUCCAACAACUCCAGGAACAGUAGUAUAUAUCUACCACAGCUUCAGUAUCAGUUCAUAACUUAGCUCACGAAACCAUAACUCAAAGAAAAUUCCUUCCAGAUUUUUGUAAAAGAAAGAAAAAUAGGAAAACUGGAAGCUGAAUUUUUUGUUUUAGUCGAUUUUCAGGUCUGUAUGCUGCUGAGUGUGUGUGUGAGAAUGAGUGAAUGACUUUCUUUUUAUAGUGUAUAUCCAAAAUAGCAUCAAAUAAAUAUUCUACCCUAAAUUCCUUAGAUAGUACAACAUAUUUAACAGAGAAUAAUGGACAACUGUCCAUUUUUCAGCAUAUUUU
Molecule: long non-coding RNA, 1303 nt
Filed under: Nicotiana tabacum (common tobacco)
Lineage: Eukaryota; Viridiplantae; Streptophyta; Magnoliopsida; Solanales; Solanaceae
Description: long non-coding RNA (NTAB_LNC002408)
Source: RNAcentral